CCUACGGGUUGCAGCAGUGGGGAAUAUUGCACAAUGGGCGCAAGCCUGAUGCAGCCAUGCCGCGUGUAUGAAGAAGGCCUUCGGGUUGUAAAGUACUUUCAGCGGGGAGGAAGACGAUAAGGUUAAUAACCUUGUCGAUUGACGUUACCCGCAGAAGAGGCACCGGCUAACUCCGUGCCAGCAGCCGCGGUAAUUCGGAGGGCGCAAGCGUUAAUCGGAAUUACUGGGCGUAAAGCGCACGCAGGCGGUCUGUCAAGUCGGAUGUGAAAUCCCCGGGCUCAACCUGGGAACUGCAUUCGAAACUGGCAGGCUGGAGUCUUGUAGAGGGGGGUAGAAUUCCAGGUGUAGCGGUGAAAUGCGUAGAGAUCUGGAGGAAUACCGGUGGCGAAGGCGGCCCCCUGGACAAAGACUGACGCUCAGGUGCGAAAGCGUGGGGAGCAAACAGGAUUAGAUACCCUCGUAGUC
Molecule: ribosomal RNA, 465 nt
Filed under: uncultured bacterium
Lineage: Bacteria
Description: bacterial SSU rRNA
Rfam family: Bacterial small subunit ribosomal RNA
Source: RNAcentral